Molecule: long non-coding RNA, 1303 nt
Organism: Larimichthys crocea (large yellow croaker)
Lineage: Eukaryota; Metazoa; Chordata; Actinopteri; Sciaenidae
Exons: 3
Source: RefSeq, a predicted model, not a curated record
GUUCACCAAACUGUCCGUUUGAACGAGUCAGUUAAAAACAGAGGUUUUAGUCUCUCUAGCUAAUUUUCCCUCGCUCAUGACGACAUUACUGAGGGUGGACUUUUAUAUUAAUCAUCUGUUCAAAUUAAUUCAAAUUAAAUUAAGGCUUAAAGUUGUGCAUAAUUAAGAGCGUGGACGCUUUAAUUUGACAGGUGUCGACCACCAACGGCUUCGGUGACGUCACGAAUACUUGGCUCUAAGGGUUGUGGGGGAGCUGGAGCCUAUCCCAGCUGAAUUAGGGCGAGAGGCAACUCUACCAUCCUGGACAAUGCCAGAGCCGCAGGAGGACAAAUCAUCACUGUGGAGCAUCACUAUAAAGAUGGGUGGCCUUGGUAGUGACUCGUGUUCCCUGCCUCUUCGGUAUCAGCGCCAAACACAUUGCUGAUGCCAUGUGUCAGACCUUUGACUGCACCUGAUCUCCUACUGCUUUAUUACAUCACCCUGAACAAAUCGCCAGUUCAUUAAGUGUAUGCCUUUGGACUGUGGGAGGAAGUCUGAGUACCAGGAUCGCACCAAUAUGUGAUUGCUAAACAAGGUGGGUGCUGUUACAGGUGGCUUCUUUGAGCGCUCAGGCAUCAUUCAGGAGCACAGCCGGAGCCACAGAAUUUGAGCAUCACAACAGCUCUUCAGAAACCUGUGAGGGACGUCACGCACAUGCUGUUCUUUCUUUACUGUCAGUGGUUCAGAGUUCAGUCGAUUUUGGAGUGACGUCUGCACAUUUCAUAUUGUGUACUAGUGGAUCUUGACCUCCCCCAGUAUGGUGACCCUGCUGACGUAUAGUGGUGAUAUACAGCAGUGGCCAAUGAUGUAUUUAUGUUUUUGUUUUUUUAUAUCUAUGAGCAUUUGGCUUAAAGUCUCACAGAGCUGCUGGCAUGAAUGUAGACUUAGUAACAUGGGUCAUGGUAUGAUUUACAGACGUCAGUGGAUCAGAGGUUAUAGAUUAAAUGUGACCUUGUGACUUCAGUUCAUAAAUCAUAAAUGUCAGUGUCAUCAUAUUUAUAUUAGCAUUAAGUUUAAAGCACUGCUGUGCCUAGAGCUGAUACUAGUCUUGCUAAUAGCUCAGCAGUGGAAAGAGGUUUGGAGACAUUUUUUAUAGGAAGGAAUAAGAUUUUUAAAAAACUGAAUAAAAAACUGCAAAUCUUCACAGAAAUGUUUUAACUCUCACACAGUGAAGAGAGUAUUCUGUUUGUCAACCAGUUUCUUUCAUUAAAAUCAUACUUGCGUCAGCCAUGUUGCAAUUAAUUCAUCAAUCAUCUACCACCCA